This 72-nucleotide transfer RNA is filed under the name Camelus bactrianus (Bactrian camel). It matches the Rfam family "tRNA". Rfam says of the family: Transfer RNA (tRNA) molecules are approximately 80 nucleotides in length. Their secondary structure includes four short double-helical elements and three loops (D, anti-codon, and T loops). Further hydrogen bonds mediate the characteristic L-shaped molecular structure. tRNAs have two regions of fundamental functional importance: the anti-codon, which is responsible for specific mRNA codon recognition, and the 3' end, to which the tRNAs corresponding amino acid is attached (by aminoacyl-tRNA synthetases). tRNAs cope with the degeneracy of the genetic code in two manners: having more than one tRNA (with a specific anti-codon) for a particular amino acid; and 'wobble' base-pairing, i.e. permitting non-standard base-pairing at the 3rd anti-codon position. RNAcentral also lists the same sequence under 2 other names. Lineage: Eukaryota; Metazoa; Chordata; Mammalia; Artiodactyla; Camelidae. The record is from Rfam by way of RNAcentral.
GAAGGUAAAGUUCAGUGGUAGAGCACGUGCUUAGCAUGCACGAGGUCCUGGGUUCAAUCCCUAGUACUUCCA